Molecule: unclassified non-coding RNA, 2289 nt
Filed under: Patiria miniata (bat star)
Lineage: Eukaryota; Metazoa; Echinodermata; Asteroidea; Valvatida; Asterinidae
Description: solute carrier organic anion transporter family member 2A1-like, transcript variant X1
Source: RNAcentral
GCCGUACUACGUUCGUUCAAAACGAAGGAACGCUAACAGGCCCUAGUCGCGGCAUUCAACUGUAUAACUCGGUCAAGGUUCGUUCUUAAUACACAGGUAGUUGUGCACCGGUACGGUCCGAGUCGCUAAAUUAUCAAAAUGUCGCAGACGAAGGACAGAAAUGCUUCUUCGGAUCCAAAGUAUCAAGAGCUGCCAAUUCAAGACAAAAAUGGCAACUUCGACAACGUCAUCAUUGAGGACGUCCUUGACGACAAGGAGGACGCGCACACGCAGUGUUGUCUCGGCGCCCUGAGGUGUCGUUGCCUCCAGUUGUUCGCGCAUCCAAACGCCUUCGUCACCCUCUUUGGUCUUCUGGUAGUGGCGUACACUGGGGGCGGUGGGGUGUAUAUGGCUGGUGUCGUCUCGACCAUCGAGAAGAGGUUUCAGUUGAAGAGCUCGGAGUCUGGUCUCCUGAUGUCCAUGAACGACAUCUCUUCGUUGAGUGGGGUGUUGUUUGUUGCACACUUCGGAGGGAGAUCACAUCGGCCGAGAAUCAUCGGCAUAUCCUGCUUGUUGGUUGCCCUGGGAUCUUUCUUGCACGCGCUGCCUCAGUUCAUCUACGACAACCCAGCCCUUGACGAAAUUUUCGUCACCAGUGCCAACCAAUCAGAGUCGAGCCCGGGAGCAUCGUUGUACGGAAAAGAUUUCAUUUGCAGUGCUGAGGCGAAUGCAACCCCGUGCACAGCCGAAGAAAUCGAAGCGUCUGGUUCCCAACUCGCAAAGGCGUGGCCCAUCAUAUUGGGCCAGCUGCUCAUUGGAGUCGGGAGCUCCGCCAUCUUGCCGCUGUCUGUGACGUAUAUCGAUGACGCAGUGGAGAAGGCCAUUGUACCAAUCUAUUUGGCUUUGAUGUUUCUGCCCAUGGCGAUCGCUCCCCUGUUUGGAUACUCACUCAGCGGCUAUUGCCUGUCACUCUUCGUGGAUUUCUACAAGACCGACGUCUCGGAACUCGGUCUCACCCCCCGGGAUCCUCAAUGGCAAGGCGCCUGGUGGCUGGGCUUCAUCAUCAACGGCUGUUUGCUGUGUCUAAUCUCCGUCCCUUUCUACUUCUUCCCGCGGAAGAUGCACAAACCAAAGUCCUACUGUUGCGGCCUACGGAUGCCUGGUUGCUGUAAGACAAUGAUUGGACGAGGGAGUGGUGGGCGGGACGAAAGGGGCGUGGCUAUGACACAAAUAGCCACACAUCACAAGAAGUACAACGGCCAACCAAUAGUGGUCGCAAUCAAAGAAUUUGGGGUGUCACUGUGGCGUCUUCUCACCAAUCCCAUCUUCAUGACCUCUCUGAUUGGCUACUGCAUAUUGGUGAUUGCCUUUGCCGGAUUCGAACAGUUCUGUGCGAAGUACAUACAGUUCCAGUUUGGAUUAAGUCCAGUGAGGGCUGGGCUUUUAGUAGGUUUUGCUUUUAUGCCUGGUACCCUGAUCGGUAUAAUCCUUGGAGGUGUAGUGUCUUCGCGGGCGGCAGGGAGCCAGCGGGGUUAUGCCAAACUCACCGUUGGUGCCCAACUUCUGUGCGUGUUGGCGUAUGGCAGCAUGAUGGCCCUGGGAUGCCCCAACAUCGAUAUUGCCGGACUGACAACUCACGUGACCGGUGGUCACGUGACUGGAAACAAUUUGGAUGUCUUCUCAUCUUGCAACAUGGAUUGUUCUUGCGAGAAGGGUGUUUAUUCUCCAGUGUGUGGCUCUGAUAAUGUCACAUACGUAACGGCUUGCUUCGCGGGUUGUGAGACAGUGGAUAAAGAUGAGGAUGAUAGAGCGAUUUACCAAGGCUGCACUUGUAUCAACCAAACUGAUUAUGGUUCCCAGAAGGACCCAGCUCCCGGUUCUGCUUUCCAAGGCGCAUGCGCGUCGAACUGUGACCUAUUGCUUCCAUUCAUCAUCAGCCUUGGUGUCACCAUGGCAAUCUCAUCCAUGUCGUUUAACCCCACAUUCAUGAUGAAGUUCAGGUUUCAUACCAGCCCCUGUCAUUCUGGGUGCGAGCCUCGAGAGUCAGUGCUCCUACUGGCAGGAAUCGUGCGAUGCUACGGGGGAAUGUCUGGUGUACGACCGGCCUGGUCUUAGGUUCGUCUUCAUCGGCUUCGCGGCUGGCUUCAGGUUCCUGGCCAGCCUGAUCUUCUGCGUUGGCGCAUUGUUAAUUUACAGGACAAACAAGUACGAGCAAGCGAUCGACAACGAUGAAGUGGCUACUGGGGAUGGCGAAGAGGCUAGCCACGUGGUCAAGUCACAGUCCUCCAAGGAAACGGAUGUAUAAAUUCA